Molecule: ribosomal RNA, 497 nt
Filed under: uncultured bacterium
Lineage: Bacteria
Description: partial 16S ribosomal RNA
Rfam family: Bacterial small subunit ribosomal RNA
Source: RNAcentral
GAUGAACGCUGGCGGCGUGCCUAAUACAUGCAAGUCGAGCGAACAGAUAAGGAGCUUGCUCCUUUGACGUUAGCGGCGGACGGGUGAGUAACACGUGGGUAACCUACCUAUAAGACUGGGAUAACUUCGGGAAACCGGAGCUAAUACCGGAUAACAUUUGGAACCGCAUGGUUCUAAAGUGAAAGAUGGUUUUGCUAUCACUUAUAGAUGGACCCGCGCCGUAUUAGCUAGUUGGUAAGGUAACGGCUUACCAAGGCGACGAUACGUAGCCGUCCUGAGAGGGUGAUCGGCCACACUGGAACUGAGACACGGUCCAGACUCCUACGGGAGGCAGCAGUAGGGAAUCUUCCGCAAUGGGCGAAAGCCUGACGGAGCAACGCCGCGUGAGUGAUGAAGGGUUUCGGAUCGUAAAACUCUGUUAUUAGGGAAGAACAAAUGUGUAAGUAACUGUGCACGUCUUGACGGUACCUAAUCAGAAAGCCACGGCUAACUACGUG